This is a non-coding RNA of Caenorhabditis elegans, 21 nucleotides long. Lineage: Eukaryota; Metazoa; Nematoda; Chromadorea; Rhabditida; Rhabditidae. The record is from Ensembl.
UUCAAGUUCGAUAGCACGUUG